UGGGGUAUGGUGUAAUCGGCAGCACGACUGGUUCUGGUCCAGUUAGUCUAGGUUCGAGUCCUGGUACCCCAG
RNAcentral lists this transfer RNA (72 nucleotides) under Paraoerskovia marina. It matches the Rfam family "tRNA". From Rfam's summary of the family: Transfer RNA (tRNA) molecules are approximately 80 nucleotides in length. Their secondary structure includes four short double-helical elements and three loops (D, anti-codon, and T loops). RNAcentral also lists the same sequence under 2 other names. The record is from Rfam by way of RNAcentral. Lineage: Bacteria; Bacillati; Actinomycetota; Actinomycetes; Micrococcales; Cellulomonadaceae.